Molecule: long non-coding RNA, 447 nt
Organism: Hemicordylus capensis (graceful crag lizard)
Lineage: Eukaryota; Metazoa; Chordata; Lepidosauria; Squamata; Cordylidae
Exons: 3
Source: RefSeq, a predicted model, not a curated record
GAGAGGGAGGAGCUUCCUUCCCUCAACUCUGGUCCCAGGGAAGGCUGCCUCCAGUACUGCAUUCGGACAUAAUGGAGACAUCCAGAAACCAGAGGAGCAGCAAACCUCACUUCAAACUGGAAUUUGAUGCAGGUGAGAUGGUGACUGUCCUGAAUCGGUGCCUCGGUGCAGUAAUGGACUGGAAGAAGAUAUUUGCAUUGCUAUGAUUGCACCGCAUCAGAAGAGUAUUGUAUUUCUUUACUUCUGGCAGACCAGCUUGCACCAAUUACGGCUGGGGUAACAAGAUUUUGGGCAGCUGCAUGAAAGCUGAGACAGGAGUUAGUUGGUAUAUUAAUAAUUGAGAUUUUUACAUAUAUGUUAUGAUGUUUCUUCCACCCAGCUCUGUUGUUUUGGUUUUUAACUGCUGGUUGUUGAUUGUAAUAAAGUUUCAUUCAUUCAUUCACUCUA